GGGUAGUGGAGAGACAGUGGGAAGAUGUCCCGAGUGACGCGCCCUUAGUCAGCCCUGUCUUGUCGCCCCGUUCCUCGGCUCAGCCGGUUCUCACCCUAUUUCGUGUGCCCUCCUGCUUCCUAUACCACCGGCGCCUCGCCCUCGCUCUGCCCCUUUGCUUGCCUCCAGGCAGAUAACGCCAGUGACAGCACACCACUGAACACGCCAUCCUGUUUUCCCAGCCAUUGCCCAGUGACCUUUAGUACCUCCCUGCACCGGGGACCGAUUGCCCUCUGUGCUCCACAGCGAGGACGAGAGCAGGCGGCGUGUGGCUUUGCUGCCUGUCGUCCUGGUGCUGCGAGUUUCUAACCUGCUUCUUUCUGCUCCAACAGCCUCUACUACAUCACGCUCUUCACCUUCUUCAUGGCUCUUGUUCACUUCCUCUCUGAAGUCUUCAUUUACCAUACUGCAGCCUUGACGAUUGGAGUCAUGGCACCCCUCAUGGUAGCAAGUUUCUCUAUCCUGGGGAUGCUGAUCGGGCUACAGUACCUAGAGGUAGAAGCACAGUCAGAAAAUAAGAAGAAAAACUGAGGCUGAGAGCACUGUAAAGGUCAGCGUCAUCUCCUGUUCUCACUGCCAAACUUCCACUAAAGCUCUGAACUUCUCCAGAAUGGCAGUCCUAGUGGCAGAUUGAUGUUGGACUCUGUCAAUCAUCCUUCACUACUGAGUGUUUUAUCUUGUCCAGGCAACAUUUCAGCUGACUGGUGUCAAAGACAAGCCCCCACAGGAGCCUGUCCAAGCUUGCAGGGAGCACUUGGUGGCUGCCUCCCUGCAGGGCAGGGAGUGCCUUGGGCAUGCCUAUGAAAAUGCUAAGGCCUGCCCCUGCUGCACCCAUGAGGAGGAGGUACAGAGCCACCCAGGGUCCACUGAACGCUUUGGAUAGGAAAAAGAAAUGUGUGCUGCUGUGGUCCAACUGUGUAACUUGCAUGUGUGUGUUCUGCAGGGGCCAUUUCUAAUAAAUGACAGAAAACAGA
Non-coding RNA from Meleagris gallopavo (turkey), 1013 nucleotides. NCBI's taxonomy places the organism in Eukaryota, Metazoa, Chordata, Aves, Galliformes, Phasianidae. The record is from RefSeq and is a predicted model, not a curated record.